UACAGAGGUCCCAAGCGUUGUUCGGAUUUAUUGGGCGUAAAGGGUGCGUAGGCGGUUGCCUAAGUCAGAUGUGAAAUCUCGGGGCUCAACCUCGAAACUGCAUUUGAUACUGGGUGACUUGAGUACUGGAGGGGAGACUGGAAUUUACGGUGUAGCAGUGAAAUGCGUAGAUAUCGUAAGGAAGACCAGUGGCGAAGGCGAGUCUCUGGACAGUUACUGACGCUGAGGCACGAAGGCUAGGGGAGCAAACGGG
This 253-nucleotide ribosomal RNA is filed under the name uncultured bacterium. Its description in RNAcentral is "partial 16S ribosomal RNA". It matches the Rfam family "Bacterial small subunit ribosomal RNA", at positions 524 to 776 of the family's 1533-position model. The record is from RNAcentral.